AGCGGCGGACGGGUGAGUAACACGUGGGCAACCUGCCUGUAAGAUCGGAAUAACUCCGGGAAACCGGAGCUAAUGCCGGGUAAUACAUUUCUCCGCAUGGAGAGAUGUUAAAAGAUGGCUUCUUGCUAUCACUUACAGAUGGGCCCGCGGCGCAUUAGCUAGUUGGUGAGGUAACGGCUCACCAAGGCGACGAUGCGUAGCCGACCUGAGAGGGUGAUCGGCCACACUGGGACUGAGACACGGCCCAGACUCCUACGGGAGGCAGCAGUAGGGAAUCUUCCGCAAUGGACGAAAGUCUGACGGAGCAACGCCGCGUGAACGAUGAAGGUCUUCGGAUCGUAAAGUUCUGUUGUUAGGGAAGAACAAGUACCGUGCGAAUAGAGCGGUACCUUGACGGUACCUAACGAGGAAGCCCCGGCUAACUACGUGCCAGCAGCCGCGGUAAUACGUAGGGGGCAAGCGUUGUCCGGAAUUAUUGGGCGUAAAGCGCUCGCAGGCGGUUCCUUAAGUCUGAUGUGAAAGCCCACGGCUCAACCGUGGAGGGUCAUUGGAAACUGGGGAACUUGAGGACAGAAGAGGAGAGUGGAAUUCCACGUGUAGCGGUGAAAUGCGUAGAUAUGUGGAGGAACACCAGUGGCGAAGGCGACUCUCUGGUCUGUUUCUGACGCUGAGGAGCGAAAGCGUGGGUAGCAAACAGGAUUAGAUACCCUGGUAGUCCACGCCGUAAACGAUGAGUGCUAGGUGUUAGGGGGCUUCCACCCCUUAGUGCUGAAGUUAACGCAUUAAGCA
This 789-nucleotide ribosomal RNA is filed under the name Halobacillus sp. RKEM 1822. Its description in RNAcentral is "bacterial SSU rRNA". It matches the Rfam family "Bacterial small subunit ribosomal RNA", at positions 94 to 866 of the family's 1533-position model. The record is from RNAcentral. Lineage: Bacteria; Bacillati; Bacillota; Bacilli; Caryophanales; Bacillaceae.